RNAcentral lists this ribosomal RNA (521 nucleotides) under uncultured bacterium. Its description in RNAcentral is "bacterial SSU rRNA". It matches the Rfam family "Bacterial small subunit ribosomal RNA", at positions 989 to 1514 of the family's 1533-position model. The record is from RNAcentral.
GAUCUAAAGGCCCUAGAGAUAGGGAGAUAGUUAUAGAGAAGACAGGUGGUGCAUGGUUGUCGUCAGCUCGUGUCGUGAGAUGUUGGGUUAAGUCCCGCAACGAGCGCAACCCUUGUCGUUAGUUACCAGCAGUAAGAUGGGGACUCUAACGAGACCGCCGGUGAGAAGCCGGAGGAAGACGGGGAUGACGUCAAAUCAUCAUGCCCCUUAUGACCUGGGCGACACACGUGCUACAAUGGUCGGUACAGAGAGAAGCGAAGCUGUGAAGUGGAGCGAAACUCAAAAAGCCGAUCGUAGUCCGGAUUGCAGUCUGCAACUCGACUGCAUGAAGCUGGAAUCGCUAGUAAUCGCAAGUCAGCCAUAUUGCGGUGAAUACGUUCUCGGGCCUUGUACACACCGCCCGUCACACCAUGAGAGUUGAUAACACCCGAAGCCGGUGGCCUAACGGAAACGAAGGAGCUGUCGAAGGUGGGAUUGAUGAUUGGGGUGAAGUCGUAACAAGGUAUCCCUACGGGAACGUG